RNAcentral lists this ribosomal RNA (303 nucleotides) under uncultured bacterium. Its description in RNAcentral is "partial 16S ribosomal RNA". It matches the Rfam family "Bacterial small subunit ribosomal RNA", at positions 507 to 807 of the family's 1533-position model. The record is from RNAcentral.
AGCAGUCGCCGCGGGAAUACAGAGGGUGCAAGCGUUAAUCGGAAUUACUGGGCGUAAAGCGCGCGUAGGUGGUUUGUUAAGUUGGAUGUGAAAUCCCCGGGCUCAACCUGGGAACUGCAUCCAAAACUGGCAAGCUAGAGUAUGGUAGAGGGUGGUGGAAUUUCCUGUGUAGCGGUGAAAUGCGUAGAUAUAGGAAGGAACACCAGUGGCGAAGGCGACCACCUGGACUGAUACUGACACUGAGGUGCGAAAGCGUGGGGAGCAAACAGGAUUAGAUACCCGUGUAGUCCCUGUCUCUUAUAC